This is a long non-coding RNA of Asparagus officinalis (garden asparagus), 604 nucleotides long. RefSeq lists it as uncharacterized. The record is from RefSeq and is a predicted model, not a curated record. Lineage: Eukaryota; Viridiplantae; Streptophyta; Magnoliopsida; Asparagales; Asparagaceae. The transcript has 3 exons.
UUGUACAAGGAGCCAAGAUCUGUUGUUCUUCCUAAUAACAAUGAAAAAAAUAUUGAAGAAAGUGAAGAUAAUUAUAGUAAACCAAUCGGUUCAUCUGAUGAUGUUUGGUAAGAAUUCUCUUACGCACAGAAUGUGGCGCUGGAUGUAGAUGAGGAGGAGGAUGAGGAGGCUCUUUGACCUGGAGGGUGAUCGCUCACGGAGUAUCACCCCAGGUAGUGGUGCUGAUGAUCCACUACCAUCUCCGGAUGCAGGUAUAAAAAUUAAUUAAUACUUUAACAUGUUUUAUAAAUUUUUAGUUAUCUAGCUCAUAGUGUUCAUUUGUUGUAGAUGCUAGAUAUUCAUCACCCGGCCCCUCUGAUGCAGCACCAGAACCAUCCCCCGAUGCAGGUAUCCAUCUUACCCAGCAUCUUAAUGUUUAGUAUGAUUAUGAAAUCUCAUAAUUUAUAAUAUGACAGGGGAAAUCAUUAAUGCCGAUACACUUGAGGGCCAGAGCGGCAUAUGGUACUUUUCGUGAACAAUAUAGGGGUGAUGAGAGGAAUCGGGAUAAGAUCACGGCAAAUCUCGAGUUAGUGGAGGGAUUUGAGACUGCAUCCAAGGAGGCUGC